Molecule: non-coding RNA, 89 nt
Organism: Mycena leptocephala
Lineage: Eukaryota; Fungi; Basidiomycota; Agaricomycetes; Agaricales; Mycenaceae
Source: the annotation of a GenBank genome assembly
AGCAGUAUGGUGUAGUGAUGUGCCCGGGAUUUUCAUGCAGUUUUGGCACAUUUAAUCUCGAGGUCCUUGUUCAAAUCAAGGUACUGCUC